RNAcentral lists this ribosomal RNA (988 nucleotides) under Escherichia coli. Its description in RNAcentral is "partial 23S ribosomal RNA". It matches the Rfam family "Bacterial large subunit ribosomal RNA", at positions 1934 to 2916 of the family's 2925-position model. Lineage: Bacteria; Pseudomonadati; Pseudomonadota; Gammaproteobacteria; Enterobacterales; Enterobacteriaceae. The record is from RNAcentral.
CCGUAACUAUAACGGUCCUAAGGUAGCGAAAUUCCUUGUCGGGUAAGUUCCGACCUGCACGAAUGGCGUAAUGAUGGCCAGGCUGUCUCCACCCGAGACUCAGUGAAAUUGAACUCGCUGUGAAGAUGCAGUGUACCCGCGGCAAGACGGAAAGACCCCGUGAACCUUUACUAUAGCUUGACACUGAACAUUGAGCCUUGAUGUGUAGGAUAGGUGGGAGGCUUUGAAGUGUGGACGCCAGUCUGCAUGGAGCCGACCUUGAAAUACCACCCUUUAAUGUUUGAUGUUCUAACGUUGACCCGUAAUCCGGGUUGCGGACAGUGUCUGGUGGGUAGUUUGACUGGGGCGGUCUCCUCCUAAAGAGUAACGGAGGAGCACGAAGGUUGGCUAAUCCUGGUCGGACAUCAGGAGGUUAGUGCAAUGGCAUAAGCCAGCUUGACUGCGAGCGUGACGGCGCGAGCAGGUGCGAAAGCAGGUCAUAGUGAUCCGGUGGUUCUGAAUGGAAGGGCCAUCGCUCAACGGAUAAAAGGUACUCCGGGGAUAACAGGCUGAUACCGCCCAAGAGUUCAUAUCGACGGCGGUGUUUGGCACCUCGAUGUCGGCUCAUCACAUCCUGGGGCUGAAGUAGGUCCCAAGGGUAUGGCUGUUCGCCAUUUAAAGUGGUACGCGAGCUGGGUUUAGAACGUCGUGAGACAGUUCGGUCCCUAUCUGCCGUGGGCGCUGGAGAACUGAGGGGGGCUGCUCCUAGUACGAGAGGACCGGAGUGGACGCAUCACUGGUGUUCGGGUUGUCAUGCCAAUGGCACUGCCCGGUAGCUAAAUGCGGAAGAGAUAAGUGCUGAAAGCAUCUAAGCACGAAACUUGCCCCGAGAUGAGUUCUCCCUGACUCCUUGAGAGUCCUGAAGGAACGUUGAAGACGACGACGUUGAUAGGCCGGGUGUGUAAGCGCAGCGAUGCGUUGAGCUAACCGGUACUAAUGAACCGUGAGG